Molecule: ribosomal RNA, 468 nt
Filed under: uncultured bacterium
Lineage: Bacteria
Description: partial 16S ribosomal RNA
Rfam family: Bacterial small subunit ribosomal RNA
Source: RNAcentral
GACGAACGCUGGCGGCGUGCUUAACACAUGCAAGUCGAACGGAAAGGCCCUGCUUUUGUGGGGUGCUCGAGUGGCGAACGGGUGAGUAACACGUGAGUAACCUGCCCUUGACUUUGGGAUAACUUCAGGAAACUGGGGCUAAUACCGGAUAGGAGCUCCUGCUGCAUGGUGGGGGUUGGAAAGUUUCGGCGGUUGGGGAUGGACUCGCGGCUUAUCAGCUUGUUGGUGGGGUGGUGGCUUACCAAGGCGUUGACGGGUAGCCGGCCUGAGAGGGUGACCGGCCACAUUGGGACUGAGAUACGGCCCAGACUCCUACGGGAGGCAGCAGUGGGGAAUAUUGCACAAUGGGCGGAAGCCUGAUGCAGCAACGCCGCGUGCGGGAUGACGGCCUUCGGGUUGUAAACCGCUUUCGCCUGUGACGAAGCGUGAGUGACGGUAAUGGGUAAAGAAGCACCGGCUAACUACGUG